RNAcentral lists this ribosomal RNA (384 nucleotides) under Haptolina sp. RNAcentral describes it as "partial small subunit ribosomal RNA". It matches the Rfam family "Eukaryotic small subunit ribosomal RNA", at positions 587 to 975 of the family's 1831-position model. Lineage: Eukaryota; Haptophyta; Prymnesiales; Prymnesiaceae. The record is from RNAcentral.
AGCUCCAAUAGCGUAUAUUAAAGUUGUUGCAGUUAAAACGCUCGUAGUCGGAUUUCGGGGCCUGCCUGCCGGUCUGCCGAUGGGUAUGCACUGGCAGGCGCGUCCUUCCUUCCGGAGACUGUCCCUACUCUUAGCUGAGCGGGGUCGGGAGACGGAUCGUUUACUUUGAAAAAAUCAGAGUGUUUCAAGCAGGCAGCUCGCUCUUGCAUGGAUUAGCAUGGGAUAAUGAAAUAGGACUUUGGUGCUAUUUUGUUGGUUUCGAACACCGAAGUAAUGAUUAACAGGGACAGUCAGGGGCACUCGUAUUCCGCCGAGAGAGGUGAAAUUCUCAGACCAGCGGAAGACGAACCACUGCGAAAGCAUUUGCCAGGGAUGUUUUCACUA